Molecule: ribosomal RNA, 980 nt
Filed under: uncultured bacterium CA1-01
Lineage: Bacteria
Description: bacterial SSU rRNA
Rfam family: Bacterial small subunit ribosomal RNA
Source: RNAcentral
AUGCGUGGGGCACAAGCGUUAUCCGGAUUUAUUGGGCGUAAAGAGAUGCGUAGGCUUUCCAGCAUGUCCCUUGUCAAAGCCCCCGGCUCAACCGGGGAAAGGCAUUGGAAACUACUGGAAUUGAGACAGGGAGAGGAAAGUAGAAUUCCCGGUGGAGCGGUGAAAUGCGUUGAUAUCGGGAGGAACACCAGUGGCGAAGGCGACUUUCUGGUCCUGUUCUGACGCUGAGGCUCGAAAGCGUGGGUAGCGAAACGGAUUAGAUACCCGUGUAGUCCACGCCGUAAACGAUGGAUACUAGAUGUUCGAUUCGACUGUAUACUUCUUUCGAGAAAUGUGCAGAAGAGUUGAGUGUCGUAGCUAACGCGUCAAGUAUCCCGCCUGGGAAGUACGACCGCAAGGUUAAAACUCAAAGGAAUUGGCGGGGAGGCGCACAAGCAGUGGAGCGCGUGGUUUAAUUCGACGGCAAUCGAAGAACCUUACCAGGGCUUGACAUAUAGCUGCAUGCCUUUCGAAAGAUAGGCAGCCUUCGAGGGUGCUAUACAGGUGCUGCAUGGCCGUCGUCAGCUCGUGUCCGUGAGAUGUAGGGUUAAGUCCCGAAACGAGGCGCAACCCUUAUCCUGUGUUAUAUGUUUCUCAGGAGACCGCCUCGGUAAAACGGGGAGGAAGGUGGGGAUGACGUCUGGUCCGCAUGGCCCUUAUGUCCUGGGCUACACACGCGCUACAAUGGCCGAUACAACGGGUUGCCAAACCGUAAGGUGGAGCUAAUCCCAUCAAAGUCGGUCUCAGUUCGGAUUGAGGUCUGCAACUCGACCUCAUGAAGUUGGAAUUGCUAGUAAUCGCGAAUCAGCCAUGUCGCGGUGAAUACGUUCUCGCCUCUUGCACACACCGCCCGUCAUAUCAUGAAAGCCGGGGGUACCCGAAGGCAUCAUGUUCCGCUUCGGCGGGAGCAGGUGUCGAAGGUAAACUUGGUGAUUGGGAUA